CUACGGGGCGCUGCAGUGGGGAAUAUUGUACAAUGGGCGCAAGCCUGAUGCAGCAACGCCGCGUGAGGGAUGAAGGCCUUCGGGUUGUAAACCUCUUUUAGCAGGGAAGAAGCGAAAGUGACGGUACCUGCAGAAAAAGCACCGGCUAACUACGUGCCAGCAGCCGCGGUAAUACGUAGGGUGCAAGCGUUGUCCGGAAUUAUUGGGCGUAAAGAGCUCGUAGGCGGUUUGUCACGUCUGCUGUGAAAAUCCAAGGCUCAACCUUGGACUUGCAGUGGGUACGGGCAGGCUAGAGUGCGGUAGGGGAGAUGGGAAUUCCUGGUGUAGCGGUGGAAUGCGCAGAUAUCAGGAGGAACACCAAUGGCGAAGGCACAUCUCUGGGCCGUAACUGACGCUGAGGAGCGAAAGCGUGGGGAGCGAACAGGAUUAGAUACCCUAGUAGUC
This 444-nucleotide ribosomal RNA is filed under the name uncultured bacterium. RNAcentral describes it as "partial 16S ribosomal RNA". It matches the Rfam family "Bacterial small subunit ribosomal RNA", at positions 339 to 795 of the family's 1533-position model. The record is from RNAcentral.